GAACAACCAUUCGCUUCAUUCUGCUUCUCAUUCAUCAUCUACCUACAGAACAAUUGUCUGCAAUAGCCAUGGACCCUCAGGACUGUAACUGUGCAUCAGGGGCUUCCUGUUCCUGCGGAGGGUCCUGCACAUGUCGCAACUGCAAGUGUACAUCCUGCAAAAAAAGCUGCUGCUCCUGCUGUCCGGCUGAGUGCAGUAAAUGCCGCCCGGACUGUGAGUGCACAAAGGGGACCUGCAGCUGCUGCCAGUGACCACUGCACAAUGACGACUACAGGACGGACCGAUCAUCUCUUAUCAUCCAUCCUAUGUACAAUGACUACAGGACGGACUGAUCAUCUCUUAUCAUCUAUCCUAUGUACAAUGACUACAGGACGGACCGAUCAUCUCUUA
Molecule: long non-coding RNA, 390 nt
Organism: Hyla sarda
Lineage: Eukaryota; Metazoa; Chordata; Amphibia; Anura; Hylidae
Exons: 3
Source: RefSeq, a predicted model, not a curated record